This is a long non-coding RNA of Nerophis ophidion (straightnose pipefish), 1902 nucleotides long. RefSeq lists it as uncharacterized. Lineage: Eukaryota; Metazoa; Chordata; Actinopteri; Syngnathiformes; Syngnathidae. The record is from RefSeq and is a predicted model, not a curated record. The transcript has 3 exons.
CUCAGGAACAAAUGAGGACUCUUGGAUUGGGUUCAUUCGGGGGUCACACGUAGUCACGGUGGGAGGAGCCAACCUUGUAAACGUUGUGCUUCUCGCUGAGCGUGUCAAAGACGAUGUAGAUCUCGUUGAGCAUGUCCACCACCUGCAUGGGCGUGAUGUGGAUGCAGAUCUCAUUGAACUUGACCACGUCGCUGAACAGGAUGGUCACAUCGGAGAAGACCUGGAACACACGGGGGUCACCAUGUCGCGUCGGAUGGUAGCAGUCGAUUCUUGAAGCUGUCCACCAUGACGUACCUGACAUGUUUCCAGAGCUGUGAUUCCCUUCCUGAGGCGGUCGGCUACAGCCUUAGGGAUCAUGGCGUACAGCAAGGAGUCGCCUCUCUUCUUCUCUUCAUCCAGCUUCUUUAUGAUUUCCUGCAGCUGAGCGUACUUCUGUUGUUCCUACAAGAUUAAAAGCGUAUUUAUCUGUAAGAGGUUUUUGCUCUAUGACCCGAUCCAGGAUAAGCACAGACAAUGGACAUUUCCGAACCUGGUCCAGGGCCAGCUGCAGUUCAGCUGACUGCUGCGUGCCAGCCAGGAUCAGCUCUCUGCUGGAGUCGUGUAGAUUCAAAUCGUUGACGUAGACGCCCAUCUUGAUCAUGUCCUCCACUGUCUCAAUGCUGCAGAGAGAGGACAAGAGGUUUACUUGAGGCUGCUUGAGACCAAGGUGUAGGCAUGUGAAGACAUAAGCACGGAUGGACUGAGGUCUUACAUGGGCGUCCCCAGGAAGAUGAGAGAAUCCCACUGGGGGACAUACUUCAUUUGGCCUUUCAGGUGGAGAGGCUUUUUAGGGGGCUCCCGCAUGUCUUCAAAGAUAGUUUCACUGCAUUUGCCUGAGAGGAAAAGAGCUUUUCAGUUUACUUAAUCUUCAUCUAAACAAAGGAUGUAAGAUUUAUUUGAGAGAAAGAUGUUCUGACCUGUGACAGUCUGGAAAGCCAGCAGCUCGAUGUCUUCGCCUCCAGAGUUAGCAGAACUGUUGUAUUGAGUCAGAGCACUACUGUACUCAUGGUCUGUGCCCUUUAUCUCCUCUACUGACUUUUGUUCUUCACACGAGACAAAGACUCAGGAGUCAGUAUGGCUUUUGGACUCGGUGUGGACUCAGUUUUCUAGUGAAGCUAAGCCAAUCCCGGUCCAAAGAUAAUGAAGACUCUGUCACCACUUAGUCGCAUGGUUAUGCGGAGGUGGUUCUCCCGGGAUGCAGACGGAAAACUCCGGAGAUCGCGUGCAGGCACAUCACACCAGGAAGCUACGACCGGUCCGAGACAAUCUCUUACUCAGAGAGACGUGCACCUAGAACCUUCGAAACCAUCAACUUUAUUAACAAAGACACAAACAUUAAGAGCAUCCAGAACCUCCCAACGUCCCCCAAAUGAGGAACCUACUUGUACAUCUGAUGCCUGACAAACUUCAGGUGAGGGAUCUCGGCUCGGUUCUCAAUCAGCCGCCACACGUCCUCGCCGUAGGAUUCGUUGAUGUAGUCGUUGACCGCCUCCAAGUACAGGCCGUACAUCUUCACGGGGCUCGGUGCUGCCCGACUUAACUGCUCAGCUGAGGAGAGGUUCUUCUUGUCAGAGUGGACCAGACUGGAGCUCACCUCGGUGCUGCUCAACCUCAUGAAAACCUCAGCCAGCCUCUUCAGGACACGAGCUCCAUUCAAAGAAGUAGAAGAAGAACCCAACAGGAGCUGACUGACUGACUGAGCGGGCGGGCGGCCACGGAUCCGAGCGUCCCGGCAGCAACCCGGCAGGUCAGAACCAGGCGGAGAGCCAAAAGUGCGGUACCAGCAAAGGUCUUCAAAGUGUUGUGUCGCCUGGAGCUCAACCUCAACAUGGACCCCCGCUCAGAGUGUGCACCUGCAGGUGA